AGGACGAACGCUGGCGGCGUGCUUAACACAUGCAAGUCAAGGGGGCCCAGCAAUGGGCAACCGGCGAACGGGUGCGUAACACGUGAGCAACCUACCGAACUGUGGGGGAUAGCCGGCCUAACGGCCGAGUAAUACCGCAUACGCUCUCAGGGAGGCAUUUCUUUGAGAGGAAACCUACGGGACAGAUCGAGGGGCUCGCGGCCUAUCAGCUAGUUGGCGAGGUAACGGCUCACCAAGGCAACGACGGGUAGCU
RNAcentral lists this ribosomal RNA (253 nucleotides) under uncultured soil bacterium. Its description in RNAcentral is "partial 16S ribosomal RNA". It matches the Rfam family "Bacterial small subunit ribosomal RNA", at positions 26 to 288 of the family's 1533-position model. The record is from RNAcentral.